Molecule: ribosomal RNA, 194 nt
Filed under: uncultured bacterium
Lineage: Bacteria
Description: partial 16S ribosomal RNA
Rfam family: Bacterial small subunit ribosomal RNA
Source: RNAcentral
GAAAUUAGCCUACAUGAAGCCGGAAUUGCUAGUAAUGGCAGGUCAGCAUACUGCCGUGAAUACGUUCCCGGGCCUCGUACACACCGCCCGUCACACCAUGAGAGUUGGGGAUACCCGAAGCCUGUGAGCCAACUAUAUAGAGGCAGCAGUCGAAGGUAGAAUCAAUGAUUGGGGUGAAGUCGUAACAAGGUAGC